UGAGGAAUUUUGCGCAAUGGGAGCAAUCCUGACGCAGCAACGCCGCGUGGGUGAUGAAGGCCUUCGGGUCGUAAAGCCCUGUCAGGUGGGAAGAAUGUCCCGGAACUGAACAGGUUUCGGGAGUGACGGUACCACCAGAGGAAGCACCGGCUAACUCCGUGCCAGCAGCCGCGGUAAUACGGAGGGUGCAAGCGUUAUUCGGAAUUACUGGGCGUAAAGAGCGUGUAGGCGGUUGAAAAAGUCAGGUGUGAAAUUCUUCGGCUCAACCGAGGGACUGCGCCUGAAACUUUUCGACUGGAGUUCGGGAGGGGCAACUGGAAUUCCUGGUGUAACGGUGAAAUGUGUAGAUAUCAGGAGGAACACCCGUGGCGAAGGCGGGUUGCUGGACCGAAACUGACGCUGAGACGCGAAAGCGUGGGGAGCAAACA
RNAcentral lists this ribosomal RNA (428 nucleotides) under uncultured prokaryote. Its description in RNAcentral is "bacterial SSU rRNA". It matches the Rfam family "Bacterial small subunit ribosomal RNA", at positions 355 to 774 of the family's 1533-position model. The record is from RNAcentral.